RNAcentral lists this ribosomal RNA (912 nucleotides) under Cortinarius sp. PDD 106474. Its description in RNAcentral is "partial large subunit ribosomal RNA". It matches the Rfam family "Eukaryotic large subunit ribosomal RNA", at positions 39 to 936 of the family's 3401-position model. Lineage: Eukaryota; Fungi; Basidiomycota; Agaricomycetes; Agaricales; Cortinariaceae. The record is from RNAcentral.
CAUAUCAAUAAGCGGAGGAAAAGAAACUAACAAGGAUUCCCCUAGUAACUGCGAGUGAAGCGGGAAAAGCUCAAAUUUAAAAUCUGGCAGCCUUUGGUUGUCCGAGUUGUAAUCUAGAGAAGUGUUAUCCGCGCUGGACCGUGUACAAGUCUCCUGGAAUGGAGCGUCAUAGAGGGUGAGAAUCCCGUCUUUGACACGGACUGCCAGGGCUUUGUGAUGCACUCUCGAAGAGUCGAGUUGUUUGGGAAUGCAGCUCAAAAUGGGUGGUAAAUUCCAUCUAAAGCUAAAUAUUGGCGAGAGACCGAUAGCGAACAAGUACCGUGAGGGAAAGAUGAAAAGAACUUUGGAAAGAGAGUUAAACAGUACGUGAAAUUGCUGAAAGGGAAACGCUUGAAGUCAGUCGCGUUGUCCAGGGAUCAACCUUGCUUUUGCUUGGUGCACUUUCUGGUUGACGGGUCAGCAUCAAUUUUGACUAUUGGAAAAAGAUUAGGGGAAUGUAGCAUCUUCGGAUGUGUUAUAGCCCUUAGUUGCAUACAAUGGUUGGGAUUGAGGAACUCAGCACGCCGCAAGGCCGGGUUUUUAACCACGUACGUGCUUAGGAUGCUGGCAUAAUGGCUUUAAUCGACCCGUCUUGAAACACGGACCAAGGAGUCUAACAUGCCUGCGAGUGUUUGGGUGGAAAACCCGAGCGCGUAAUGAAAGUGAAAGUUGAGAUCCCUGUCGUGGGGAGCAUCGACGCCCGGACCAGACCUUUUGUGACGGUUCCGCGGUAGAGCAUGUAUGUUGGGACCCGAAAGAUGGUGAACUAUGCCUGAAUAGGGUGAAGCCAGAGGAAACUCUGGUGGAGGCUCGUAGCGAUUCUGACGUGCAAAUCGAUCGUCAAAUUUGGGUAUAGGGGCGAAAGACCUAAUC